This 413-nucleotide long non-coding RNA is filed under the name Carica papaya (papaya). Its description in RNAcentral is "long non-coding RNA (CPAP_LNC015935)". The record is from RNAcentral. Lineage: Eukaryota; Viridiplantae; Streptophyta; Magnoliopsida; Brassicales; Caricaceae.
AUUCAUAAUUUGUUUCUGUAUCUGGCACCCUUAUGUCCUAAUUUGCAUUGGGGAAGUCACAAAUGGUAUCAGAGUAGUUAUGCAGACCAAAUCCCUUACAACUAAGGCCGUAGUAGAUAGACCAAAUCCCUUACAACUAAGGCCGUAGUAGAUAGACCAAAUCCCUUACAACUUGUGUCUUCCUUUCUUUUGUAGGAAUGACGCGAGGAAGACCAUUCGUAGAACGUACUAAAAGACCUAAGGCUUAGGACCAUCCAACUAGGGCUGAGUUUACUAAACUCUUCUAAGCUAUCUAGGGAUUGACCACAGUCGUACGAUAAAACCAAGCCAACCCUUAUCAAUACCCUGGCCCCAAAUACCAUACAGCCGGAAGGUCUAUCUCUCACAACAUAGUAGAGUUUAGAAAGCUUAAC